GGACUCUGAGAUCUUCCCUUGGGAAUGAGCAUAUUAGACACCCUAGCCCUGGAGUCUGACAGUAGGAGAGCUGGACCAAUUGACUGACUUGAAAACUAGUAGAACUGACAUCCAGGCUGUAAAAAACCUAGACUUCAUUCAUGAAGGGCUCACACACAGUCGCUCACUCCUGAAACAAAGUGGAAGCAGCAGAUUGAAACUGCCCAGGACUCUGGCUGGUUUCCUAUGACCACCCUAGCAUGUGCCCCAACCUGAGCAUUUUUUACAUAGUAACUAUGAAUGUUGUCAAGUUGUUUAACGUCCCUGUAUUUAUUUCCCCAUCUAUAAGGAAUAUAAUUAUCUUGAGCAGUUUUAUAAAGAGCAUAAAUAAUGUAUGCAAAGUGAACUGUACAAAUUGCUUCCAGGUAGAUGGAAGUUAUAAUGCCCAGGAAUAACUUCAGAAAAUAGUACCAUGAACCUGAAUGAAUUUUAACCAAAGAAAUACAGGCCUUCUCAAUAUGUAAAAUGUGGUCUUUAAUAACCUUAUGUAGCCAGGACCAGGAUUUCAUCCCUCAGGCCAACUCUAAAACUGCUUUAAUGAGUCAACAGCAAUGCUUUCAUAAUUAUGGCACCAUCCAACCCACCAUGCAAAUCUGUUAAGGUGUCUUUGUUGUUUUGAGGGGUUAGUAGGGUAAUGUGCCCUAUUAUCCAUUUACCAUUAGAAAAGCUGCAAAUGACUUUUACAGUAAAAAACACAUGACAAAAUUAAAAGCAAUUGGUUUGUCUAUAAUUUAUAACAUGUUCACUUAAAUAUAUACAUAUACAUAUACAUUUAAAUGUUUUCAAAACUUUGUGCGUAUUUACAGUCACCUAAGUACCUCUAAGACUUGUGGAUCAGAAUUUGAACAAAAGAUGUAUUUUGGAUGAAUUAUUUUAUAUAAAGAGAUAUCUUUAUUCAUUCAUACCUUGCAAGUAUUUUGCAGUGAAAUUCUUUUUAUGAUAUUUACAUUUUAACAUAACUAGUUUAUUCAGGUAUCUGUUUUCAUUUAUCUGGUUUCCAAUAGAUUCUCCACCCUAGAGGAUAAAAACUUUCUCUGCCAGCAGGGAAAAUCUAAUGCCCCCAAGUUUUGUUUGGUCAGGAAAGAAUUUUAAGACUGAUUAUUGGAAUUUCAGCACAUGUUAAGCAGGGCAGCAUUCUCCAGUGUACCAUUGCUCUAACAAUCCCUGUUUCUUUACUCCUUACUGGUAGCUUCUUCGUCUAUAAAGAUUUUAUUUUGCCAUCUUUGUCCUUCACCAUCACCAGAGUAUUCUCAAGAGUUCUAACUGGCUCCCCUAUUAGCCUUAUAUACACUCUGACACGUCCUUCAGGAUCCUUUAUUUCCCUUUCAAUUUUGUUUCCCCAGGAAGGAAAAGGCAAUUAGCAUUUAUUGAGGAUGUAGUGCUUUGCAGACAUUGUGUUGUGUGUUGCAUUAAUUUACAUUUUUUGGUUCUCAUGAUAAUCUCAUAUUUAAAAAAUAAACAGAGGUUAAGAGAGUUUAAGGAACUUUGUCCAAAGUAGUAAUUGAUAAAGAAUUUAAACCAGGGCCUCCCUCACUUCAAAUCAUUUACUUUUUCCACUAUCCAAGUGGAGGAACAAUUGUGGUAGAAAUCCUAAGACAUAAAGAAUGUGUGAGUGCAGAGUAGAAUCAAGACCAUGUGAUAAACUGAACUGAUCAUGUUGCAUACAAAUACACCAGAAAGCUCAAGUUCUUUGAGCUUGACAAAGAACCAAUGAGAAAGAGUAUAUAGGAAGGCACUUUCAGCCAACAUAAAUGGCUCUCUGAAGGCAGCCUGAGUCUGUAAAGGAAUUGAGAACUAAAGAUGCUGACAACAUAAAAUGUAGUUCAGGAUACCAGGCUCCAUUGACUUGAUAUGCUUUUUAAUUUAAGUACAAGUAACUAAGAAUGAACCCUCUGAGAACAGAAAACUAUAAAAUUUCAGCAUGCCUUUUCUCAUGGUUAUCUAAAAAUGCCUCUUUUUCUUUAAGAUUUUUUUUCUCAAAUCAUUUUUUUGUGCCGAAAUAAUAUUAUUUGUAACAAGUUUUUUAAAUGACUUGAGCCAUAUAUAUUGUUGCCAUGCAAAAUAUAGAUGUAAACCUGAGAAAUUAACAUUUACUCUUCCUUUCUUUUAACAACCAUGUAAUGAGCACCACCAGUUUUAUGCUGGGCUACCUCUGUGAGACCCAUAAAGAGGAAUAAUGAAGCAGCCAUUGAUCACAGGAGCUAACAAUUCAGCAGGGAAGGCAACAAGCACAAAUGCACACAGUAUCUACAGUUGUUACAAAGUGUACUUCAUGAGCGGUAUUGAGAAAUGGGGCUAAGAAAGGGAAAGAUCAAUUUGAUUUUGGAAUAUCAUGAAGAUUUCAUGAAGUCAGUAGAUAAAGCAGUGUUUGUAGACAAGCACAAUAGAAGAUCAAGAUUUAAUCUGUUCUCAUUUCCUAUUUGCUGUUUAAAUCUCUAUACCUCAUUUGACCUUUCUCAUUUGUAACAGGAGAUUUAAAACUUUUAUCUUAAGGACAGAUUGUGUACCUAAAUAUAAAAGACAAAAAUUAAGGGGUUUAGGAAAAAAUUGCAGGUGAAAAUCUUUGUGAUCUUAGAAUAAGAAAAUUUUCCUUAAACAUUACACAAAGAUGAUAAGAACAUAUUAAUCUUUGGCCUUCAUCAACCAGUAAGAGAGUGGAAGACAAAAUGAACAGACCAGAAAAUGUGAAGAUACUGGUGAUACUGUUUCUGAAAAGUGACCCAUAUGUGGAAUAUUUUUAAAAAAUCCUACAUGGUUGAAUAAGGAAAAGACAUUGAAAAAUAAGUGAGAGACUUGCCAGUCACAUCACAAGACGGGAUGCCCGCUUGCCCCAUAAACAUGAAGAAUCUUCUACCUCAUUUAUUUUUGGAGAAAUGAAAAACAGAAUGACAGUAUAUGUGGUUUUACUAAAAGAGUGGAAGUGACAAGAAACUUCCAAAAGUUGAGGAUAUGGAGGAAUUAGAAUUCUCAUGCACUCUCUUUGGGAGUAUAAAUUGAUAAAACCACGUUGGAAGCUGUUUCACAGUUUCCAAUAAAGUGUAAGCUUAUCCUGUGACUCAGCAAUUCCAGCAUUAAGGAUAUACCGUUCUUUGUUUUCUAUUGCUACUGUAACAAAUAAGCACAUACUUAAUGCCUUAAAAUAACACAGAUAUUCCAACACAGUUCUUUAGAUCAAAAGCCUGUUCAGGUCUCUUUGGACUAAAAUAAAGGUGUCUUAUGUUCCUUUCUGCACACUCCAGGUUUGGGUACUUUCUGAAGACAUUCCCAACUUCUAGACCCUUUCUGCUUUCCUCAUGUCCUGGCCUCUUCCUCUAUAUUAAUGCCAGGAAUGUUGGAUUCUCUCUCUCCGUCUCUUUUGGUCUUUCACUCUUUGCCUGUCUCUCUUUGUAUCUUUAUGUUUCUCUCCCUCUAUCAGUCUCUCCUUUUCUCUCUCUGUUUUUCUUCCUGUCUUUCUCAUCCUGUUUUCUCUCUCUGUAUUUCUCUUUCUCCCAUCCUUCUCUCUCUAUCUUUCUCUUGCUCUGUCUCUCCCUCACUCAUUGUCACUAGGAAAGUUUUUCUGCUUUUAAAGACUCAUGUGAUCAAUCAAGCCAUUAACCCCAUCUCAAAGUUCUUGACUUACCCAGAUGUAUAAAGUUCUAUUAGUCAUGUAACAUACCGACACAUUUGAGGAUUGAGAAAGUAGAUAUAAAUUUCAAAAACAGGCAAAAUUAGUCAAUAUAUCAGAAACCAUGAUAGGGAGUACCCUCUUGGAGGAUGUGAUUUAUGACUGGAAGAGAACAUGGAUGGGGCAAUCUUCAGUGGUGAUAGAAUUGUUCUGUUUCUUAUCCUAGGCACUGGGUAAAUUUGUUUAGUUUGUGAAAAUUAUGUAUGUUAGCUUAAUUACUACAUUUUAAAAAUCUGUUGUCCAAGCUUCACGGAGCAGUAGAUAUAAUAACCAAAUUACAUAGCAAUAUCAAAAAUUGUCUUUAUUAGACUCUACUGUUUCACAGAUGUUCUAUUAAAUGUGUUUCUGUUCGCAGAUAUUAGCCCCAUUUAACAAAAGAAGGGGCUGAGAAUCAGAUGUGUAUUAAGUAGCAUAGCUAAUAAAGGUCAUCCGUACCUUAACUUAAACCAAGGCUCAUACUUAAAAGCCUUUGAGUUUUAUUCCAUGACAUUGGGAUCAGGAGAAUCUCUUAGAUCUAUAGAAUUCGUGGCAAGCCUGGAAUGUGGAUAUUCAAUACAAAAGCACUCUAAGAUCUAGAUAUAUUAUAUGAAAAUUAAAAAUGCUAAGAAAGUCUAAACAAUAAUGCAGAUGUCAUUCAAUUAUUAUUAAGAAAUUUAAAGACAGCACAGUGUAUUCAGUGGAAAUAUGAAAAGACUCAGAGUCUGAGGCAAUAACUCAUUUGAGUUUAUCUGCCUCUUUUAAGCACCUUGCCUCCAUUCUCCCGAUUUGAUUUGUUUAACCUCCAAUUGAAGAACUCAGCACCAUACAGGCCAUAGG
RNAcentral lists this long non-coding RNA (4519 nucleotides) under Sus scrofa (pig). RNAcentral's name for it is "lncRNA (ENSSSCG00005034031.1)". Lineage: Eukaryota; Metazoa; Chordata; Mammalia; Artiodactyla; Suidae. The record is from RNAcentral.